ACUACGCUAUUCCACUGCGAAAUGGCGGAUAUGUUAUUUACUAUUAGUAACGAUUAUUUAUUUAUUUAUUAAUCAAUACGUAAAGUACGAGCGUCAACAGCACUUUUGAAUUGCCAUCUUAUAAAUUAAAUUUUUCCACCGAUUCGGAUGCAGAAAGAUUCGGCGAGAAACUCCGCAGUUUAGUUUAAAAAAAAGGGUUAGAAACAGUUAUACAUAGGUGUUAAUAAAAAUUUAAGCUUACUUUGUGCAACAAAUUACAGGAAAUUCUCUAUAAAAGAAAUGAAAUACUAAGAGGAUAGUUGGACUACUUAACUACUUUAUCAAACAACUAAAUAAACUUUUAACAAACAAAAAAAGAAAAGAGAGAGAAAAUGAAUAAUAUGAAACUAGAAAAUGCAAGUCGAAUUUGUACAUUAAGAAUACCGUACGACAAAAAUGGUAAUAAAAUUUAUUAUGCUCAAAAAAUUGUAAUAGACGAAAAACUUGGAAUAGACGUUUUAUCCUUAAAUGUAUGAUUGAAUGUAAAAUUUUUAUA
Long non-coding RNA from Melitaea cinxia (Glanville fritillary), 535 nucleotides. RefSeq lists it as uncharacterized. The transcript has 2 exons. The record is from RefSeq and is a predicted model, not a curated record. Lineage: Eukaryota; Metazoa; Arthropoda; Insecta; Lepidoptera; Nymphalidae.